GGACGAACGCUGGCGGCGUGCCUAACACAUGCAAGUCGAGCGGAGUCAGUAAGAGGAAGUUUCGGAUGGAAUCUUGUUGAUUUAGCGGCGGACGGGUGAGUAACGCGUGAGCGACCAACCUUGCACAGGGGGAUAACGGACCGAAAGGUUCACUAAUACCGCAUGAGACCACGGUGUUGCAUGACACAGAGGUCAAAGGAGCAAUCCGGUGCAAGACGGGCUCGCGUCCGAUUAGGUAGUUGGAGGGGUAACGGCCCACCAAGCCUAUGAUCGGUAGCCGACCUGAGAGGGUGAUCGGCCACAUUGGAACUGAGAUACGGUCCAAACUCCUACGGGAGGCAGCAGUGGGGAAUAUUGGGCCAAUGGGGGAAACCCUGACCCAGCAACGCCGCGUGAAGGAAGAAGGUUUUCGGAUUGUAAACUUCUGUCCUUGGUGAAGAGAAGAAGACGGUAGCCAAGGAGGAAGCCCCGGCUAACUACGUGCCAGCCGCCGC
This 494-nucleotide ribosomal RNA is filed under the name uncultured bacterium. RNAcentral describes it as "bacterial SSU rRNA". It matches the Rfam family "Bacterial small subunit ribosomal RNA", at positions 27 to 518 of the family's 1533-position model. The record is from RNAcentral.